UCCAGACUCCUACGGGAGGCAGCAGUGGGGGAUAUUGCAUAAUGGGGGAAACCCUGAUGCAGCGACGCCGCGUGAGUGAAGAAGUAUUUCGGUAUGUAAAGCUCUAUCAGCAGGGAAGAAGAUGACAGUACCUGAGUAAGAAGCCCCGGCUAACUACGUGCCAGCAGCCGCGGUAAUACGUAGGGGGCAAGCGUUAUCCGGAUUUACUGGGUGUAAAGGGAGCGUAGACGGAUGGAUAAGUCUGAAGUGAAAGCCCGCGGCUCAACCCCGGCGAGCCGUUGAAACUGUCGGACUAGAGACGGCGAGAAGUACGCGGAAUGCGCGGUGUAGCGGUGAAAUGCAUAGAUAUCGCGCAGAACUCCGAUUGCGAAGGCAGCGUACCGGCGCCGGACUGACGCUGAGGCACGAAAGCGUGGGUAUCGAACAGGAUUAGAUACCCGCGUAUU
RNAcentral lists this ribosomal RNA (446 nucleotides) under uncultured bacterium. Its description in RNAcentral is "bacterial SSU rRNA". It matches the Rfam family "Bacterial small subunit ribosomal RNA", at positions 330 to 794 of the family's 1533-position model. The record is from RNAcentral.